RNAcentral lists this ribosomal RNA (491 nucleotides) under uncultured bacterium. RNAcentral describes it as "bacterial SSU rRNA". It matches the Rfam family "Bacterial small subunit ribosomal RNA", at positions 28 to 526 of the family's 1533-position model. The record is from RNAcentral.
GAUGAACGCUGGCGGCGUGCCUAAUGCAUGCAAGUCGAGCGACGCAUACCGGAGGGGUAACCCACUGGUAUGACGGAGCGGCGAACGGGUGAGUAACACGUGAGCAACCUGCCCCACAGACCGGGAUAGCCCAGGGAAACCUGGAUUAAUACCGGAUAUCCUCUCGAGACCUCAUGGUCAUGAGAGGAAAUGCCUUUGUGCUGUGGGAUGGGCUCGCGGCUUAUCAGCUAGUUGGUGGGGUAACGGCCUACCAAGGCAUCGACGAGUAGCUGGUCUGAGAGGACGAUCAGCCACACUGGAACUGAGACACGGUCCAGACUCCUACGGGAGGCAGCAGCAGGGAAUCUUGCGCAAUGGGCGAAAGCCUGACGCAGCAACGCCGCGUGGGGGAUGAAGGCCUUCGGGUUGUAAACCCCUUUCAGGAGGGAAGAAAUUGACGGUACCUCCAAAAGAAGCACCGGCCAACUACGUGCCAGCAGCCGCAGUAAAAC